AUAUCUCUCUGUACGGGAAGGAUGAGAAGCUUCGACUAAGGUUCGAUUCGAGCGCAGCGAGAAAGCGUUGCCGCAGGCAACGACCCGAAGGGCGAAGCGCGCAGCGCUGAGUAAUCCUUCCCC
This 123-nucleotide small RNA is filed under the name Salmonella enterica subsp. enterica serovar Muenchen. Its description in RNAcentral is "partial RtT sRNA". It matches the Rfam family "RtT RNA". Rfam says of the family: This family represents a bacterial cis-regulatory element known as RtT RNA. The exact function of RtT is unknown although it is thought that it may be involved in changing the cellular response in relation to amino acid starvation. Lineage: Bacteria; Pseudomonadati; Pseudomonadota; Gammaproteobacteria; Enterobacterales; Enterobacteriaceae. The record is from RNAcentral. RNAcentral also lists the same sequence under 3 other names.